Molecule: ribosomal RNA, 253 nt
Filed under: uncultured bacterium
Lineage: Bacteria
Description: partial 16S ribosomal RNA
Rfam family: Bacterial small subunit ribosomal RNA
Source: RNAcentral
UACGUAGGGACCAAGCGUUGUUCGGAUUUACUGGGCGUAAAGGGCGCGUAGGCGGCUUGUCACGUCGGAUGUGAAAGCCCGAGGCUUAACCUCGGGUCUGCAUUCGAUACGGGCUAGCUAGAGUGUGGUAGGGGAGAUCGGAAUUCCUGGUGUAGCGGUGAAAUGCGCAGAUAUCAGGAGGAACACCGGUGGCGAAGGCGGAUCUCUGGGCCAUUACUGACGCUGAGGAGCGAAAGCGUGGGGAGCGAACAGG